GCAUUUUCACUUUCUGGACUCGAUUUUAAAAAAAUAACUGCAACCAGACCAGAGCUCCAAAUGCUACGUUUUAUAUAUCAAAUUAAAGAUAAUUGAGUCUACUUUCCAGGAAAAAAAACCUCAUGUCAUUUAGAGCUCUGUAGAAAAAGUUAUGGUUAAAACAUUGAGCAAAGGUCAGAGCUGCCUAGUUCCAGCGUGAAUUUUCGUUUUUACCGUUUUAAUUUCAUUUUAAUUUUUCCGCAUCCACAAACGAC
This 254-nucleotide long non-coding RNA is filed under the name Vigna radiata. RNAcentral's name for it is "long non-coding RNA (VRAD_LNC007677)". The record is from RNAcentral. Lineage: Eukaryota; Viridiplantae; Streptophyta; Magnoliopsida; Fabales; Fabaceae.